GAUGAACGCUGGCGGCAUGCCUAACACAUGCAAGUCGAUCGGUAAGGCUCUUCGGAGUACACGAGAGGCGGACGGCUGAGUAACGCGUAGGAACACACCCUGCAGUGAGGGAUAAGACACCGAAAGGUGUUCUAGUACCGCAUACGGUCUUCGGAUUAAAGCAUUUAUGCGCUGAAGGAGUGGCCUGCGUCAUAUUAGAUAGUUGGUGAGGUAAUGGCUCACCAAGUCGAUGAUGUGUAGCUGGUCUGAGAGGAUGAUCAGCCAGACUGGAACUGAGACACGGUCCAGACUCCUACGGGAGGCAGCAGUGAGGAAUAUUUCACAAUGAGCGAAAGCUUGAUGGAGCAAUGCCGCGUGCAGGAUGAAGGCCCUCGGGUUGUAAACUGCUUUUAUAAGAGAAGAUUAUGACGGUAACUUAUGAAUAAGGGACGGCUAACUACGUG
Molecule: ribosomal RNA, 443 nt
Filed under: uncultured bacterium
Lineage: Bacteria
Description: partial 16S ribosomal RNA
Rfam family: Bacterial small subunit ribosomal RNA
Source: RNAcentral